RNAcentral lists this long non-coding RNA (935 nucleotides) under Olea europaea subsp. europaea. The record is from RNAcentral. Lineage: Eukaryota; Viridiplantae; Streptophyta; Magnoliopsida; Lamiales; Oleaceae.
UACAGAUUUGAACCACAAAGGUUCGACACAAAGAACCUCUCAAACUCUUAUCUCUCUCUUUACAAAACACUCACAAAGAAUACACUACACUCAGUACACCAUAAUCUCACAAAGAGAUUACACAGAUCAUCCAGAAGAUGAAAUUUACAGAGAGAAUUUUAGAGAAAAACACGAAGAAGACAAGAGGAAUACAAAAUAAUACGAUCCACCCUAACCCUAGAAUGAAAAGUCUAUUUAAAUGGAAUACAAUCAAUCAGGUGAUCCAACGCUCCAGAUUACACCAAGUGUCAACCAUCCAUUUAAAACGCACCAAUGCUCAAAAAUAAAACACGCUUUCAACAUUCCAGAAUCUUCAUUUAAUUGGAUCAAAGGACCCGGUUUAUUUGGGCUGGCAAAACUGGACCAUAAGUAAUAGGCGGACUAAAAAUGUAGCAACCCAUUUACAAAGUUUUAUUAGCCUCUGGUGGUCGAGCUGUAUUCCAUUGUCAAAGACCAAGAUUGUAAGAUCCUCAAUUCUGUACACUAUGUACUUCAUUAUGAACCUGGUCAUAUUAUCUUUAGUGAUCUUGGUUAUUGGCUUGGCUUUGACCCAUUUUGUGAAGUAAAUGAUGGUCAACUAUCAUAAAAUGGGCUUCAACUCAUCCCUUGGGUAUGGACUCACAAUUUCCAUACCCCACUUGAAAAAUACCUUAGACAGCUCACUUUGAUCAGCUCUUAAGUGUAGAGCUAAGGUAUAUGAGAAAACCUCUAGCAUUAUUACAACUCCUACUAUAGUCCUUCAGGUUCGACAAGUAAUACUGAUGGUUUUUCUUGUAGUGAUGAGAUUAGAUUAGAUGGUUUAAUAUGUUUUGUAUGAGAUAAUUUUGGAGGUAGAAAGUAAGUGGCUUUUUGUUGGAAGUUAGUAGUAUGGAAAAUUUUGAUAGAAAGUAAGUUAG